GCACGCUGGGAAACGUAGUUGCUGCCCUCUCCUCGAUUGGGUCGGCUUUGCCCUAAUUACUAGGCGCACCCUGCAGGAAGCAAGAAGAGGCCAAGAUCAGAUGUUUUCAGUUGUUGGAGAACCAGAGGACCAAAUAACGUAUGAACUAUGAGAAACUAACAAAUAUUUUGUUAAUGAACACAAGAAUGUAAAAAAAAUCAGCUCGUUCUUGUCAAAAGAAUCCACUCGGUCCUCUUUCAUAACGAUCAGGUAGAGAGUAAGCCACGCAGACGCUACUCUCUAGUCUUCUGUCUCUUCAGCGUAGAUUUUGAUUCCUUGUUGACAGGUCAGGAAAAGCCACUGCUUUCUUCUAGAGAUACUGAUCUGGCAUCAUUGUAGUCACAAGAAUAGCAGCAAGGAUCCCUACAACACUUAAGAUUGAAUUGUAUUCUUUGGACAAAGAAAUUGUGACAGUGGAAGAAUAAGAAUGGCAAACUCUCCAGGACAGCCAGGGCUAUACAGAGAAACUCUGUCUCGAAAAACCAAAAAAAAAAAAAAAAAAAAAAAAAAAAAUGGCAAACUUAUCUGUCAGUGCCUCAUCUAUACAGGCUAUCUACACUUUUUGUCUCAGUAGAUCGACACACGGUCACUUGACGGAAGAAACAGGAGGCUUGUGAAAUGGCUCAGCAGGUCAAGAUGCCUUCUGCUAAGC
Long non-coding RNA from Mus musculus (house mouse), 691 nucleotides. RefSeq annotates it as predicted gene, 51622. Lineage: Eukaryota; Metazoa; Chordata; Mammalia; Rodentia; Muridae. The transcript is spliced from 3 exons. The record is from RefSeq and is a predicted model, not a curated record.